This 72-nucleotide transfer RNA is filed under the name Otolemur garnettii (small-eared galago). It matches the Rfam family "tRNA". From Rfam's summary of the family: Transfer RNA (tRNA) molecules are approximately 80 nucleotides in length. Lineage: Eukaryota; Metazoa; Chordata; Mammalia; Primates; Galagidae. The record is from Rfam by way of RNAcentral.
GCUUCCGUAGCUCAGUGGUUAGGGCACCAGUCACAUACACUGAGGAAGGCAGGUUUGAACCUGUCUGGGGCC